Columba livia (rock pigeon) is the source of this 573-nucleotide long non-coding RNA. RefSeq lists it as uncharacterized. The record is from RefSeq and is a predicted model, not a curated record. Lineage: Eukaryota; Metazoa; Chordata; Aves; Columbiformes; Columbidae. The transcript has 3 exons.
CUCCUGCAAUAUCUCAAAAUUUGAGUAACUGCACAGCAUUAUAAAGUUUGCUUUUUUAUUUUUAGGCUUUAACACUUCAGACCCCAGAGGAAAACCAAGUUACCAGCCAAGGAGUCAAAGGAAAGAUGAUGAACCUGCUUCUUAUGUUCCUCGUGGGAGAGCAGCAGGAAGAAAAACAUAUUGCGAUUCUUCAGAACCUCGCAGGUCAGCGUAUGUUUUCUACCGCACUGUGGACGUCACCCAAGAACCAAAGUUCAGUGGAUCCACAGGGGAUGGUAAUACUUGUGCAGCACUUAACAAUGCAAAGAAAGGAGGAGAGAGUUCAGGAAGGAGAGUUCCAGCGGAGCGUAUUCCCAGAAGCAACUGGCGAUCCUUCGACAAUGGAGGAAUUCACUCUUCAGAUCCCAACGGAAAUUACCAACAAAGGCGUAAAAAUAAGGAUGAUGAAACUGCUUCUGCUGUUCCUUAUGUGAGAGCUGCCAGCAGAAAGACUGAUUCUGAUUCUUUGGAACCUCGAAGAUCAACAUAUGUUUUCUACCGCACUGUGAAUGCCACCCAAGGACCAAAGUUCCG